This 233-nucleotide ribosomal RNA is filed under the name uncultured bacterium. RNAcentral's name for it is "partial 16S ribosomal RNA". It matches the Rfam family "Bacterial small subunit ribosomal RNA", at positions 118 to 346 of the family's 1533-position model. The record is from RNAcentral.
UGAGGAACAUGUCCUUCGGCGGGGAAGUAGCCGGCCUAACGGCCGGGUAAUUCCGCGUACGACGGUUGGGGCGCAUGCCUCGGCCGUGAAAGCAGCAAUGCGCCGAUGGAGUGCCUCGCGGCCUAUCAGCUAGUUGGUGAGGUAAUGGCUCACCAAGGCGACGACGGGUAGCUGGUCUGAGAGGAUGAUCAGCCACAUUGGGACUGAGACACGGCCCAGAUCCCGUAACGGGG